Molecule: non-coding RNA, 345 nt
Organism: Anas platyrhynchos (mallard)
Lineage: Eukaryota; Metazoa; Chordata; Aves; Anseriformes; Anatidae
Source: RefSeq, a predicted model, not a curated record
GUGCUGAGCGGGGCCAAAUGGUAUAUGAGCCCCAGGCAUGGUAUUAGAGAGCUCCUUCUGCCUGGGCUGCUCCUUGGGAGGACUAAAACCAGCUUGAUUACCGGCUACAUGUGGCUUGACAGCGUAGAUGCAGCAUUACCAAGAGACUGAGCAGAGUUGUAUCAGAGUCACCUUUUCAUCUGCAAAGGGUGCUUGGUUCAGUUGUGGAGAGGGAAGGGAAAUCCUCAUGUCACGAAGCUCUGUGGGAAGGUGAGUGGUGUCAGCCAUGUCAUCCCUUAUCGGAAGCAAAGGGAAGACGCUCAGGUGUUCCCUGUGAGGGUCCGAGGUGAGGCUGUUUGGGAUAGA